CUCAUUUUGUUCAAUUUUUCUUCUUCUUCUUCUCCUUCCUUUUCUUCUUUUGUUAGAAUUUGAGAGUUGAGAUUAAUUUUGUGUGAUUCAAUUCACAAAGGCUUAGUAGUUAGUUGUAACGAUUAAGAAGGAGAUGGUGUUGAUGCAACUAUCGAAUUCAUAAUUCACUGAAUAAGUUAGUCUAUAUUAACAACGAACGAUUCAAAAGAUGAUUCAGUGGAUUGUGGAUUCCAAGGUAGGCGUGGCUUGCCAUCAAAACAGUUUCAGUAAUCAGAAGGAAUGAAGCGUGCGAAGAUAUCCGUUUUCAUAGCUUAGUGCUCUACCGAAUAUUAAUGUUGUCGUGUAUCUGUAUUAUAUGUGUUCUUUCUUUAUUCUUUAAAACAACACAUUUAUAUAUUUAUAUAACACGAGAGACUUUCAAACAUACUGUAUCAGAGAGUUUGGGUUUGUUUGUUAAUACUUUAUGUGAAGAUGGUUCUUAAGAUUGAUAAUAUGGAUUUGAUGUUUCAA
This is a long non-coding RNA of Papaver somniferum (opium poppy), 510 nucleotides long. RefSeq lists it as uncharacterized. The record is from RefSeq and is a predicted model, not a curated record. The transcript has 3 exons. NCBI's taxonomy places the organism in Eukaryota, Viridiplantae, Streptophyta, Magnoliopsida, Ranunculales, Papaveraceae.